RNAcentral lists this ribosomal RNA (930 nucleotides) under Alteromonas sp. RNAcentral describes it as "bacterial SSU rRNA". It matches the Rfam family "Bacterial small subunit ribosomal RNA", at positions 75 to 1005 of the family's 1533-position model. Lineage: Bacteria; Pseudomonadati; Pseudomonadota; Gammaproteobacteria; Alteromonadales; Alteromonadaceae. The record is from RNAcentral.
CUAGCUUGCUAGAAGAUGACGAGUGGCGGACGGGUGAGUAAUGCUUGGGAACUUGCCUUUAGGAGGGGGAUAACAGUUGGAAACGACUGCUAAUACCGCAUAAUGUCUACGGACCAAAGGGGGCUUCGGCUCUCACCUAAAGAGAGGCCCAAGUGAGAUUAGCUAGUUGGUAAGGUAAAAGCUUACCAAGGCGACGAUCUCUAGCUGUUCUGAGAGGAAGAUCAGCCACACUGGGACUGAGACACGGCCCAGACUCCUACGGGAGGCAGCAGUGGGGAAUAUUGCACAAUGGGGGAAACCCUGAUGCAGCCAUGCCGCGUGUGUGAAGAAGGCCUUCGGGUUGUAAAGCACUUUCAGUUGUGAGGAAAGGUUGGUAGUUAAUACCUGCCAGCUGUGACGUUAACAACAGAAGAAGCACCGGCUAACUCCGUGCCAGCAGCCGCGGUAAUACGGAGGGUGCGAGCGUUAAUCGGAAUUACUGGGCGUAAAGCGCACGCAGGCGGUUUGUUAAGCUAGAUGUGAAAGCCCCGGGCUCAACCUGGGAUGGUCAUUUAGAACUGGCAGACUAGAGUCUUGGAGAGGGGAGUGGAAUUCCAGGUGUAGCGGUGAAAUGCGUAGAUAUCUGGAGGAACAUCAGUGGCGAAGGCGGCUCCCUGGCCAAAGACUGACGCUCAUGUGCGAAAGUGUGGGUAGCGAACAGGAUUAGAUACCCUGGUAGUCCACACCGUAAACGCUGUCUACUAGCUGUUUGUGAAUUUAAUUCGUGAGUAGCGAAGCUAACGCGAUAAGUAGACCGCCUGGGGAGUACGGCCGCAAGGUUAAAACUCAAAUGAAUUGACGGGGGCCCGCACAAGCGGUGGAGCAUGUGGUUUAAUUCGAUGCAACGCGAAGAACCUUACCUACACUUGACAUGCAGAGAACUUUCCAGAG